Molecule: ribosomal RNA, 175 nt
Filed under: uncultured bacterium
Lineage: Bacteria
Description: partial 16S ribosomal RNA
Rfam family: Bacterial small subunit ribosomal RNA
Source: RNAcentral
CCUACGGGAGGCAGCAGUGAGGAAUAUUGCGCAAUGGAGGCAACUCUGACGCAGCCAUGCCGCGUGCAGGAAGAAGGCGCUACGCGUUGUAAACUGCUUUUAUCCGGGAAGAAACCCCUCCACGCGUGGAGGGUUGACGGUACCGGAGGAAUAAGCACCGGCUAACUUCGGUGCC